Haliotis rubra (blacklip abalone) is the source of this 116-nucleotide long non-coding RNA. RefSeq lists it as uncharacterized. The transcript is spliced from 3 exons. The record is from RefSeq and is a predicted model, not a curated record. NCBI's taxonomy places the organism in Eukaryota, Metazoa, Mollusca, Gastropoda, Lepetellida, Haliotidae.
AAAGGUCAAGGUCGAAUGUCGUCACGCUCAAUAGUGACGUCAUCUGUUUUGUUCUAUGACGUUUCCAUAUUUGUAAAAGGUGGGUCAGUGACCUUCAAAACAAAUACUUUUGUUUG